RNAcentral lists this transfer RNA (66 nucleotides) under Paratriatoma lecticularia. Its description in RNAcentral is "tRNA-Phe". The record is from RNAcentral. Lineage: Eukaryota; Metazoa; Arthropoda; Insecta; Hemiptera; Reduviidae.
ACUCGAAUAGCUUAAAUUUAAAGCAAAGUAUUGAAGAUACUUGUAUAAGGGCUACCUUUUCGAGUA